Molecule: microRNA precursor, 194 nt
Filed under: Oryza brachyantha (malo sina)
Lineage: Eukaryota; Viridiplantae; Streptophyta; Magnoliopsida; Poales; Poaceae
Description: MIR812 microRNA precursor family
Rfam family: MIR812 microRNA precursor family
Source: Rfam by way of RNAcentral
AAUAAAUCAAUUUUUCACUUUUUAUAUAUAAUUUUUGACUCUUCGUUUUAUUCAAAAAUUUUUUACGAUUGAUAUUUUUAUUUUUAUUAGAUGAUAAAUCAUAAAUAGUAUUUUACGUGUGACUAAUUUUUUUUAAUUUUUAAAAUUUUUUCAAAUAAGACGGAUGAUCAAACGUUGGACAUGAAAACCCGAAG